UACGGAGGGUGCAAGCGUUAUCCGGAAUCACUGGGUUUAAAGGGUGCGUAGGCGGUUUGAUAAGUCAGUUGUGAAAUUCCCCGGCUUAACCGGCGGGACUGCGAUUGAUACUGCCAGACUUGAAUUAGGUUGAGGUAGGCGGAAUGUGGCAUGUAGCGGUGAAAUGCAUAGAUAUGCCAUAGAACACCGAUUGCGAAGGCAGCUUGCUGGACCUUAAUUGACGCUGAGGCACGAAAGCGUGGGGAGCAAACAGG
This 254-nucleotide ribosomal RNA is filed under the name uncultured bacterium. RNAcentral describes it as "partial 16S ribosomal RNA". It matches the Rfam family "Bacterial small subunit ribosomal RNA", at positions 524 to 776 of the family's 1533-position model. The record is from RNAcentral.